AUUCCAGCUCCAAUAGCGUAUAUUAAAGUUGUUGCAGUUAAAAAGCUCGUAGUCGGAUUUUGGCAUCACGCCGAACUGUCUGCCGAUUGGUAAGUACGGUUUGGCGGGUGCUUCCUUCCGGAGGCUCGUUCCCUUCUUCAUUGAAGGGUUCGUUGGUUCCGGGUCUUUUACUUUGAGAAAAUUAGAGUGUUCAAAGCAGGCCUAUGCUCUGAAUAGGUUAGCAUGGAAUAAUAGAAUAGGACUUUGGUUCUAUUUUGUUGGUUUCUAGGACCGAAGUAAUGAUUAAUAGGGACAGUUGGGGGCAUUAGUAUUUAAUUGUCAGAGGUGAAAUUCUUGGAUUUAUGAAAGACUAACUACUGCGAAAGCAUUUGCCAAGGAUGUUCUCAUUG
This 389-nucleotide ribosomal RNA is filed under the name Picozoa sp. RNAcentral describes it as "partial small subunit ribosomal RNA". It matches the Rfam family "Eukaryotic small subunit ribosomal RNA", at positions 582 to 975 of the family's 1831-position model. The record is from RNAcentral. Lineage: Eukaryota; Picozoa.